CGGACGGGUGAGUAACGCGUGAGAAUCUGCCCUCAGGAGGGGGAUAACAGUUGGAAACGACUGCUAAUACCCCAUAUGCCGAGAGGUGAAACGAAUUUCGCCUGGGGAUGAGCUCGCGUCUGAUUAGCUUGUUGGUGGGGUAAAGGCCUACCAAGGCUUCGAUCAGUAGCUGGUCUGAGAGGACGAUCAGCCACACUGGGACUGAGACACGGCCCAGACUCCUACGGGAGGCAGCAGUGGGGAAUUUUCCGCAAUGGGCGCAAGCCUGACGGAGCAACGCCGCGUGAGGGAUGAAGGCCUUUGGGCUGUAAACCUCUUUUCUCAAGGAAGAACAUCUGACGGUACUUGAGGAAUAAGCCACGGCUAAUUCCGUGCCAGCAGCCGCGGUAAUACGGGAGUGGCAAGCGUUAUCCGGAAUUAUUGGGCGUAAAGCGUCCGCAGGCGGCCGUUUAAGUCUGUUGUUAAAUCGUGGAGCUCAACUCCAUCACGGCAAUGGAAACUGUUCGGCUUGAGUAUGGUAGGGGCAGAGGGAAUUUCCGGUGUAGCGGUGAAAUGCGUAGAUAUCGGAAGAACACCAGUGGCAAAAGCGCUCUGCUGGGCCAUUACUGACGCUCAUGGACGAAAGCCAGGGGAGCGAAAGGGAUUAGAUACCCCUGUAGUC
RNAcentral lists this ribosomal RNA (661 nucleotides) under uncultured bacterium. RNAcentral describes it as "bacterial SSU rRNA". It matches the Rfam family "Bacterial small subunit ribosomal RNA", at positions 99 to 795 of the family's 1533-position model. The record is from RNAcentral.